RNAcentral lists this ribosomal RNA (778 nucleotides) under uncultured bacterium. RNAcentral's name for it is "bacterial SSU rRNA". It matches the Rfam family "Bacterial small subunit ribosomal RNA", at positions 8 to 796 of the family's 1533-position model. The record is from RNAcentral.
AGAGUUUGAUCCUGGCUCAGAAUGAACGUUGGCGGCGUGGAUUAGGCAUGCAAGUCGAACGAGUCUCUGGGGGGUAACUCCUAGAGGAAAGUGGCGAAAGGGGCAGUAAUGUAUGGGUAACCUACCUUGAGGUCUGGGAUAGCUAUUCUAACGGAUAGGUAAUACUGGACGGCCUAAGUUGUCGGCAUCGACGAUUUAGUAAAGGUUACGCCUCGAGAGGGGCCCAUAUGAUAUUAGCUAGUUGGUGGGGUAAUGGCCCACCAAGGCAAAGAUGUCUAGCGGGUGUGAGAGCACGACCCGCGUCAUUGGCACUGAGACACUGGCCAAACUCCUACGGGAGGCUGCAGUCGAGGAUCUUCGGCAAUGGACGAAAGUCUGACCGAGCAACGCCGCGUGUGCGAUGAAGGCCUUCGGGUUGUAAAGCACUGUCGAGGGGAAACAAGCCGUAAGGUUGAGUGACCCCUGGAGGAAGCACGGGCUAAGUUCGUGCCAGCAGCCGCGGUAAGACGAACCAUGCAAACGUUAUUCGGAAUCACUGGGCUUAAAGGGCGCGUAGGCGGGUGAUCAAGUCAAUGGUGAAAUCCUCCAGCUUAACUGGAGAAGUGCCUUUGAUACUGAUUGUCUAGAGGGAGGUAGGGGCAUGUGGAACUUCAGGUGGAGCGGUGAAAUGCGUAGAUAUCUGAAGGAACGCCAGUGGCGAAAGCGAUGUGCUGGACCUCUUCUGACGCUGAGGCGCGAAAGCUAGGGGAUCAAACGGGAUUAGAUACCCUGGUAGUCC